Molecule: ribosomal RNA, 475 nt
Filed under: uncultured bacterium
Lineage: Bacteria
Description: bacterial SSU rRNA
Rfam family: Bacterial small subunit ribosomal RNA
Source: RNAcentral
GCAGAGCACUCUACGGGAGGCAGCAGUGGGGAAUAUUGCACAAUGGGCGCAAGCCUGAUGCAGCCAUGCCGCGUGUAUGAAGUAAGGCCUUCGGGGUUGUAAAGUACUUUCAGCAGUGAGGAAGGUGGAUAUGUUAAUAGCAUAUUCAUUUGACGUUAGCCUGCAGAAGAAGCACCGGCUAACUCCGUGCCAGCAGCCGCGGUAAUACGGAGGGUGCGAGCGUUAAUCGGAAUUACUGGGCGUAAAGCGCAUGCAGGUGGUUUGUUAAGUCAGAUGUGAAAGCCCGGGGCUCAACCUCGGAAUUGCAUUUGAAACUGGCAAACUAGAGUACUGUAGAGGGGGUAGAAUUUCAGGUGUAGCGGUGAAAAUGCGUAGAGAUCUGAAGGAAUACCGGUGGCGAAGGCGGCCCCCUGGACAGAUACUGACACUCAGAUGCGAAAGCGUGGGGAGCAAACAGGAUUAGAUACCCUGGUAG